Molecule: long non-coding RNA, 98 nt
Organism: Ipomoea nil (Japanese morning glory)
Lineage: Eukaryota; Viridiplantae; Streptophyta; Magnoliopsida; Solanales; Convolvulaceae
Exons: 3
Source: RefSeq, a predicted model, not a curated record
UGCUAUGUGCAAAUGUUUUACAGGGUGGAGUAAGUCUUACCAGCUGUUGUAUGCUGAAUUUGUUCCCUCCUUAGUUACUUUGCAGGCCUGGAUUGCAU